UGGAUCCAGACUUUGAUUCUGGCUCAGGACGAACGCUGGCGGCGCGCCUAACACAUGCAAGUCGAACGGGGUUAUACUGGAUGAAGUUUUCGGAUGGAAUUUGGUAUAACCUAGUGGCGGACGGGUGAGUAACACGUGAGCAACCUGCCUAUCAGAGGGGGAUAACGAUUGGAAACGAUCGCUAAUACCGCAUGACAUAGCGGAACCGCAUGGUUCUGCUAUCAAAGAUUUUAUCGCUGAUAGAUGGGCUCGCGUCCGAUUAGAUAGUUGGUGGGGUAACGGCCUACCAAGUCGACGAUCGGUAGCCGGACUGAGAGGUCGAACGGCCACAUUGGGACUGAGACACGGCCCAGACUCCUACGGGAGGCAGCAGUGGGGGAUAUUGCACAAUGGGGGAAACCCUGAUGCAGCGACGCCGCGUGAGGGAAGACGGUCCUCUGGAUUGUAAACCUCUGUCUUCGGGGACGAAAGUAGACGGUACCCGAGGAGGAAGCCACGGCUAACUACGUGCCAGCAGCCGCGGUAAUACGUAGGCGGCAAGCGUUGUCCGGAAUUACUGGGUGUAAAGGGAGCGUAGGCGGGCAGGCAAGUCAGGCGUGAAAUAUAUCGGCUCAACCGGUAACGGCGCUUGAAACUGCAGGUCUUGAGUGAAGUAGAGGUUGGCGGAAUUCCUAGUGUAGGGGUGAAAUGCGUAGAUAUUAGGAGGAACACCAGUGGCGAAGGCGGCCAACUGGGCUUUUACUGACGCUGAGGCUCGAAAGUGUGGGGAGCAAACAGGAUUAGAUACCCUGGUAGUCCACACCGUAAACGAUGAUUACUAGGUGUGGGGGGACUGACCCCUUCCGUGCCGGAGUUAACACAAUAAGUAAUCCACCUGGGGAGUACGGCCGCAAGGUUGCAACUCAAAUGAAUUGACGGA
This 919-nucleotide ribosomal RNA is filed under the name uncultured Bacillota bacterium. RNAcentral's name for it is "bacterial SSU rRNA". It matches the Rfam family "Bacterial small subunit ribosomal RNA", at positions 1 to 917 of the family's 1533-position model. The record is from RNAcentral. Lineage: Bacteria; Bacillati; Bacillota.